This 21-nucleotide non-coding RNA is filed under the name Caenorhabditis elegans. The record is from RNAcentral. Lineage: Eukaryota; Metazoa; Nematoda; Chromadorea; Rhabditida; Rhabditidae.
UGGUCUUAUUCACCGUAAUUU